Molecule: ribosomal RNA, 253 nt
Filed under: uncultured bacterium
Lineage: Bacteria
Description: partial 16S ribosomal RNA
Rfam family: Bacterial small subunit ribosomal RNA
Source: RNAcentral
UACGUAGGGUGCAAGCGUUAAUCGGAAUUACUGGGCGUAAAGCGUGCGCAGGCGGUUCGCAAAGUCUGAUGUGAAAGCCCCGGGCUCAACCUGGGAACUGCAUUGGAAACUAACGGGCUCGAGUGUGGCAGAGGGGGGUGGAAUUCCACGUGUAGCAGUGAAAUGCGUAGAGAUGUGGAGGAACACCGAUGGCGAAGGCAGCCCCCUGGGCUAACACUGACGCUCAGGCACGAAAGCGUGGGGAGCAAACAGG